This 562-nucleotide ribosomal RNA is filed under the name Phomopsis sp. B28C. RNAcentral describes it as "eukaryotic LSU rRNA". The stretch from base 226 to 379 matches the Rfam family "5.8S ribosomal RNA". The record is from RNAcentral. Lineage: Eukaryota; Fungi; Ascomycota; Sordariomycetes; Diaporthales; Diaporthaceae.
AAAAAUCGUAACAAGGUCUCCGUUGGUGAACCAGCGGAGGGAUCAUUGCUGGAACGCGCCCCAGGCGCACCCAGAAACCCUUUGUGAACUUAUACCUUACUGUUGCCUCGGCGCUAGCUGGUCCUUCGGGGCCCCUCACCCUCGGGUGUUGAGACAGCCCGCCGGCGGCCAACCCAACUCUUGUUUUUACACUGAAACUCUGAGAAUAAAACAUAAAUGAAUCAAAACUUUCAACAACGGAUCUCUUGGUUCUGGCAUCGAUGAAGAACGCAGCGAAAUGCGAUAAGUAAUGUGAAUUGCAGAAUUCAGUGAAUCAUCGAAUCUUUGAACGCACAUUGCGCCCUCUGGUAUUCCGGAGGGCAUGCCUGUUCGAGCGUCAUUUCAACCCUCAAGCCUGGCUUGGUGAUGGGGCACUGCUUUUACCCAAGAGCAGGCCCUGAAAUUCAGUGGCGAGCUCGCCAGGACCCCGAGCGCAGUAGUUAAACCCUCGCUCUGGAAGGCCCUGGCGGUGCCCUGCCGUUAAACCCCCAACUUCUGAAAAUUGACCUCGGAUCAGGAGGAA